UAUCCUUUCCUAAGAGACAUGUGUCCCUGAGCAUGAGUUUGUCGUUCAUGCUCUGGUUGGGCCCUCAGCUCCUGUCCCCGCAGGUCUGGUGCCCAGCCCCGCACUUACUCUGACUGCACUGACUGGGGACUGACCACACAGAGGUCAGGUUCUCUGGUCACUGACAGCCCCCUCUCUCUAUCCCAGCACUUGGGGCUUCCUGGCUUUCCCAGCUGCCAGAGUCGCUUCCUCCUAAUGGCCCACGUCUCCAUCAGGGAGGGUUAGGGAUCAGCUGGCUGGCUGGUGUCCCCACCCUUUGUCCUAUAGCUACUUAAGGUGUCCCAUGACAUCCUCAGAUGGCUGAGCAGAAAAUGGGAGCCAUGCUGUCUGGGACCCAGGCCAUGACCUGGGGCCAGGGGUCACAGGCGACUCCAGAGGCAAGGUCUGCGGCUGCUGGGGCUCCAUGUGUUGUCACCUCCCCAGGUCAAAGGGAAAGGCCAGGGCUGCCAGGACUGCAGCUGGCGGUGAGCACUCCUUGGGCUUGGAGCCCUGCCCCAACUCUUGCAGGCCCUUCCCCAUCCUUGCUAGUCUGGCUAGCCCUGCCCUGGGCCAGGUGGCAGUGGAGUGAAAUCCCAGGCUUCCAUCUCCAGUAUUCUCCCUGAGGAGCUAACCCCAACCCAGGGUGCCCCUGAGCUGUGCCCUGCUGACUUCCCCAAACCAGCCCCUUUCUUACUACUCUCCUCUUCCCCCUCCCUCCUUCCUAUAUAUAUUAGUACUUAAUAGCAAGAGGUGGUGGGAGCUGCUAGGAUAGCCCAUGAACCCAGGAGCAGGUACCAAGGAGCCUUAGCAUGUGGAGGAAAUGGAUCUAGGCUGGAAGGGGACACACAGCUGUGUCCUGUUGUGGGAUUCUUCAUUCCUCAGGACUGGCUUGACCCCAUGACACUCCCCUGUGCUCAGCACUGAGUUGUGAGCUCUCAGGCUGCCGUCACCCAGAUGCCCUCCCACCGGGCUCCAUUUCUCCUCCUUCCAUCUCCCACAGCUCCUGCCCCAGUCCUAGCCAUAUCUUUACAGCAGUCACCAUGGCCCUCACACCACAUGCAGCACACGGCCCUGCUUUCCUCAGGGCAGAUGGCAGGCGAUUUCCCUCCACCCACACCCUGGAUGUGCAGGUCUGUCAUUGAAGGGCUGCAUGGCCCCGGGUUCCUCUCAUUACGGCGCCAGGUCCCAGACACUUACUUGUCCUGCAGCCAUCAGAGGGAAUUAAAAUGAACAGCCGCCCUGACGUGGGGAGCCGGCCCGAGACGCCCAUGGUUACCCACUCACAGCAGGAAACUUGCAAUCAAAUUCUAACAAAAGGUCACAUUUGCAAUAAGUAAAAAGGAAAUGUAGGUAAUUGGUUCUGGAGCCCGUUAAUACCUCUGCAGCCCUGAGAGGCAAUCUGAUGGACUUGAAACCUUUUUGUUCAGGGAGACUUUGAGCACAAGCAGUGUGGGAACACAGUGCUUCUCCAUGCGGACUCAGGACUCAACCUAAAACAACCAGUACAAGCACUCGGCGAAAUGAGGAGGCCCUGGGAUAGGCCUGGCAGUGCCCUGGUCCCAGAGGAGCUCUUCUCACAGGGAAAGUGGUCAAAUCCAGCUUCAAGUUUUUGAAGCCAAAUUCAUCUGAAUGUAAACCAGCUUGGUUUGGAGUCUCCCCUUAGGAGCCUGGGGUAGUAGCUCCAUCCUGAAGGUGGCUUUCUCAAAGAAACCGUUGGAUUUUCCUCUCCACGUGGGACUUCCUCUCGAUUCAUAAGAAGUAAUUUGGACAGUGACCUAAAUAAUUUCUGAGAUAAAGAAGGCAUGAUGGAAUCACCGUGGUAACUGCAGCUUGGCUCACAGAGGCAUCGAUCUCACAUUUGACACUUGCGUUGACUUUUAGGAAGGAUGGCACAGCAGUCCUACCUGUGCCACUGGCAGUGAUGACAAACCAUUUUUGAUGGGUGAUUUAUUUUUCAUGGCAAUGGUGUUCUCUAGUGUCUGAUUAGAGGAGCAGCUCAGUCUUCCUAUUUUCAAGUGGAAUGGAUUUUUGAGGAAGAUUUCAGCUCACCUGGGGGUUUGGAUCAGAAAAAUUCUGUGGCUUAUAAAGUCAUUUGUUCUUUUGCUGUGAUUGUAUUCACAGCAGAAGGGUGAGCGAAAGGUCAGCAAUAACUCUGCUGUUGCAUUUUAGCUAGAAAAAAAUGUAAUAUUGAUCCAUAAGAAAAUGGAGAAGCUCAAGUGUGAGGCCUUACUUGAUCUUCUGCGACCUUUCCCCCACCAUGUUGAUUUUACACUUAAAUGUUAUGUCUCCUGUUCAAAAGGUUUGUCCUGUUUAGUCUCCUAUUUAAUUAGUACAUCGUCGUCUUCACUCUCCCUAAUGUGGCAACAAGAUGUCUCUUGGUUCCUUGUUGGACCAUCGUCCUUGCUUUUUAUUUGCCCCUGUAACUGGCUUAUACAGAAUCCCACCAACGGCACCUGACAUCUCUGUCUUCUUGCAGAUCAUUGGAAUAAAUAGCAAUUUAAGACUA
Molecule: long non-coding RNA, 2524 nt
Organism: Pipistrellus kuhlii (Kuhl's pipistrelle)
Lineage: Eukaryota; Metazoa; Chordata; Mammalia; Chiroptera; Vespertilionidae
Exons: 2
Source: RefSeq, a predicted model, not a curated record